This 210-nucleotide long non-coding RNA is filed under the name Lathyrus oleraceus (garden pea). Its description in RNAcentral is "Pisum sativum (pea) long non-coding RNA (PSAT_LNC039696)". Lineage: Eukaryota; Viridiplantae; Streptophyta; Magnoliopsida; Fabales; Fabaceae. The record is from RNAcentral.
CUUGUAAUUUGUUUGGUUUAGUGUGCAGCUUACGUUUUAUGCGAGGGCAAAUCCCUGUGGACGAACUUCUUUUUGAUCCUGAGAUCGAGAGAACCGCAAGGAGGCUCAAUAGCAAAACGAGACGUAGGAGGCAACAGGCUAGACAACGCCAAGAGCAAGGAGAAAGUUCUUCAACCACAAAUCCACACCCAUUCAUACCAAACAUGGAGC